This 633-nucleotide long non-coding RNA is filed under the name Elaeis guineensis (African oil palm). Its description in RNAcentral is "long non-coding RNA (EGUI_LNC013373)". Lineage: Eukaryota; Viridiplantae; Streptophyta; Magnoliopsida; Arecales; Arecaceae. The record is from RNAcentral.
AAAUCAUGGACGGUGGCUCCUACUGGAAUAUCUCUAAAGGACCUCCUCUUACUGCCAAAAGCUUCCAACAAAGAUGAAAUGCUGUGUUUGCUCCCUCUACCUUCAGACUCUGACUAAGAUAGUCCUCCUGAACUCGGAUUCUCCUCCAUCGAUCGUUGAUCCAGACUCCGAUUCAUAGCAUGAUGGUUCAAAUCGCUUUCUAUACCUGAUCAUUUCCUCCUGCCAGUAUUGAUCAUCCAAGCUUGCCUGAAUGACAGUCUCAAUCUGUGCCUCCUCAUCAUCUGGAGCGGAAGCCUCCUCUGACUUUCUAAAGUGAUAAGAAGGUGGCUCUGUAGCUCGACGAUCCACUUCCGCCCUCUUCUGUUUGUCCUUUCCUUUGCUGUUUUUGAAUCAACGAAGUACUUCUUCAUCAACUGUCGGACCUCUUGUGGGCAUUUUCGAUAUAUGGACACAUCAAGAUAACCAUCAGUCAGGUAUUGCUUCAAUCUACUCACUCCUUUUUUCCUAAACUCUGUGUCGCACCAUUUGUAUUUUCAAUGAUGUCGAGCUGAGCGCAUUUCGUCAUGAUUCCAACUAAUGUAAUGCUCUGAAUUUUUCUUCUUACUCAUUUCUGCAAGUAUAACAAAACACAGC